AUUGAACGCUGGCGGCAUGCUUUACACAUGCAAGUCGAACGGUAACAGGCCUUCGGGUGCUGACGAGUGGCGAACGGGUGCGUAAUGCAUCGGAACGUACCCAGAGGUGGGGGAUAACGCAGCGAAAGCUGUGCUAAUACUGCAUGUGAUCUGAGGAUGAAAGCGGGGGACCGAGCAGCAAUGUUUGGCCUCGCGCCUUUGGAGCGGCCGAUGUCGGAUUAGCUAGUUGGUGGGGUAAAGGCCUACCAAGGCGACGAUCCGUAGCUGGUCUGAGAGGACGACCAGCCACACUGGGACUGAGACACGGCCCAGACUCCUACGGGAGGCAGCAGUGGGGAAUGUUGGACAAUGGGCGCAAGCCUGAUCCAGCAAUGCCGCGUGCGGGAAGAAGGCCUUCGGGUUGUAAACCGCUUUUGGCAGGAACGAAACGGUGUCCGCUAAUACCGGGCGCUAAUGACGGUACCUGCAGAAUAAGCACCGGCUAACUACGUG
RNAcentral lists this ribosomal RNA (492 nucleotides) under uncultured bacterium. Its description in RNAcentral is "partial 16S ribosomal RNA". It matches the Rfam family "Bacterial small subunit ribosomal RNA", at positions 29 to 507 of the family's 1533-position model. The record is from RNAcentral.